UCCACCGCUUGCCUUCCCCAAGGACACCUCGCUCCUCUCGCUUCACAAGUUCGUGAAAUCAUAUGCAGCCCAGUCUAAAAGAUUGGGCAAGAUGCAAAUGCAGUGUCUUCAUCAAGAGAUGGCAGGGAAUAGUACGCUGCAUACAGAUUAUAAGGGGGGAGAACAGAGGCCAUGGACAAAAUCUGACGCCAUGCUUGUACUUGAAGAUGGUUCUGUAUGGAGAGCAAAGUCUUUUGGUGCAUCAGGAACACAAGUUGGUGAAGUCGUGUUCAAUACAUCUUUAACAGGGUAAUUUGGUCAUUUUUUGAAGGUAUUAGGAGAUUCUCACUGACCCCAGCUAUGCUGGUCAAUUUGUUCUGAUGACAAAUCCUCAUAUUGGGAAUACUGGUGUCAAUCCUGAUGACGAGGAAUCUAGUCAAUUCUUCCUUGCUGGUUUGGUCAUCAAAAACCUAAGCAUUUGCACUUCAAACUGGCGAUGCACAGAAACUCUCAGCGAUUAUUUGACAAAUAGGAAUAUCAUGGCCAUAUAUGAUGUGGACACUCAUGUCAUUACAAGAAGGCUGAUGGAAGAUG
Zingiber officinale is the source of this 573-nucleotide long non-coding RNA. RefSeq lists it as uncharacterized. The transcript is spliced from 7 exons. Lineage: Eukaryota; Viridiplantae; Streptophyta; Magnoliopsida; Zingiberales; Zingiberaceae. The record is from RefSeq and is a predicted model, not a curated record.